AGCGAACGCUGGCGGCGUGCCUAACACAUGCAAGUCGAACGUGAAAGAGGGGCAACCCUCGAGUAAAGUGGCGUACGGGUGAGUAAUACGUAGGUAAUCUACCCCAGAGUCUGGAAUAACCUGCCGAAAGGCGGGCUAAUACUGGAUAGAGCGACGGAAUCCGUAAUUGGGUUUUUCGGGAAGGGAGCUCGUUAAGAGCCUUCGCUUUGGGAUGAGCCUACGCCCCAUCAGGUAGUUGGCAGGGUAACGGCCUACCAAGCCUUUGACGGGUAGCUGGUCUGAGAGGAUGAUCAGCCACACUGGAACUGAAACACGGUCCAGACUCCUACGGGAGGCAGCAGUGGGGAAUCUUGCGCAAUGGGCGAAAGCCUGACGCAGCCACGCCGCGUGAGUGAAGAAGGCC
RNAcentral lists this ribosomal RNA (403 nucleotides) under uncultured bacterium. Its description in RNAcentral is "bacterial SSU rRNA". It matches the Rfam family "Bacterial small subunit ribosomal RNA", at positions 29 to 416 of the family's 1533-position model. The record is from RNAcentral.